RNAcentral lists this ribosomal RNA (406 nucleotides) under uncultured bacterium. RNAcentral describes it as "partial 16S ribosomal RNA". It matches the Rfam family "Bacterial small subunit ribosomal RNA", at positions 30 to 526 of the family's 1533-position model. The record is from RNAcentral.
AUUGAACGCUGGCGGCAGGCCUAACACAUGCAAGUCGAACGAGCGGCGGACGGGUGAGUAAUGUCUGGGAAACUGCCCGAUGGAGGGGGAUAACUACUGGAAACGGUAGCUAAUACCGCAUACCAUCGGAUGUGCCCAGAUGGGAUUAGCUCGUAGGUGGGGUAAUGGCUCACCUAGGCGACGAUCCCUAGCUGGUCUGAGAGGAUGACCAGCCACACUGGAACUGAGACACGGUCCAGACUCCUACGGGAGGCAGCAGUGGGGAAUAUUGGACAAUGGGGGCAAGCCUGAUGCAGCCAUGCCACGUGUAUGAAGAAGGCCUUCGGGUUGUAAAGUACUUUCAGCGAGGAGGCGUUACUCGCAGAAUAAGCACCGGCUAACUCCGUGCCAGCAGCCGCGGUAAUAC